Molecule: small nucleolar RNA, 68 nt
Filed under: Oryzias javanicus (javanese ricefish)
Lineage: Eukaryota; Metazoa; Chordata; Actinopteri; Beloniformes; Adrianichthyidae
Description: Small nucleolar RNA U54 (ENSOJAG00000021442.1)
Rfam family: Small nucleolar RNA U54
Source: Rfam by way of RNAcentral
GAGCAAUGAGGAUAAGAAUUUCUAUCAUGAUAAACCAUGAUGCUUGUAUACGCUAUUCUGAGCUAAGG